This is a long non-coding RNA of Cynoglossus semilaevis (tongue sole), 3161 nucleotides long. RefSeq lists it as uncharacterized. The transcript is spliced from 2 exons. Lineage: Eukaryota; Metazoa; Chordata; Actinopteri; Pleuronectiformes; Cynoglossidae. The record is from RefSeq and is a predicted model, not a curated record.
CCCUUUACCUCUUUUUAUGCUACCUGUGUUCACUCGCUGAAUUUGCGUUUGUCGCGUUUGGUGUGAACGCCCCAUGAGUCGGUGCUAAACAGUCAGCCGGUCGGUCACAGCCAUGAAGAACCACAGUAUAUAAAUGUUGUGAGUGAUGACAGUCCAGUGAGUGGAGGAGGAGCAGGCUCAAGCUUUAUUCCUCUGAGGUCAACCCUGACAUGAGACACAGCUAUGCAACAGUUUGGUGUAAAGAAACAUGAGACACAGUCCCAGACAGGAAGAGUGUAAAGGAGGAACAACUCUGUUGUUGCAGUUCAUCAGCAGAUGCAUGUCUUCGUAGGCCUUUUGUGUCACAGAUGCUACAAAGGGACCAGUGCGGGACGUAUAUGUACAGUACAUGGUGGAGAACCUCACUUUGUUCCUCCUUCGCGAUAAAGAAUUCAGACCUUUAUUAAGCAGGUGACUCACGGGUCACAGUCAGUGCUGUAUAAUAAUAAUAAUGCAAUGUCUCAGCAACUCAAAGGGUGGAGGAUGACACGGGUGUCGAGUGCAAACGUCAGUCAAAGCUACAUCACACAGGUGCACGUGUCCUGGAGACGCACCUGUCGCAUCAAUGCAAAUAUGUGAAUCACUGCCUUCAUUUAAAUAAAGCAUCUCUGGGACAGAACAGAGAGAGUGGGCGGGGCCGGGGGAGGGGGGGUCAACAAUGACAUAUUUACAGAGAAGAGAAGAGACCCCACAGAGUGUACAGAGUACAUGACAAAUAAAUUCAGAGCCACAGUACUUUCUCAUGUACUGGCGAUGCAGUGUUACAUAAAUAAUGUGAAAGUACACGGUAACGUCAGUCACAACAUGAAGAGAGCAGCACACUGAACAUGAACCACAAGUACCACUGUGUCUGUGUUUACAUUUUCUACACCAGAAACAGCUGCUACAAAAACAUCUGGAACUGCAGUACUGUACUGCAAAGGUUUUUGGCAUGUGUGUACAUUUACUUUGUCUCCCGUUUCCUGCAGCCGUGUUUAAAGCAAACGUAGAGAAGAAGAAGAAGACGAUCGUUGACAACAACGUUCAACUGCAGAAGGCACAGAUGUUUGGUUGGUUCGGAGCUUUCUUUUAAUGAGACGUUCGUGGACCGCGUUCCACCUCAGCCUCCAGUGAUAGCGCUGAAGAGCACGUCUAAAAUUCACGGGUGAAACGUCCAACAUCCCAGAAUCACUGUUGUUAGAAAGAACCUCCGCUUCUCUACGUUUACUUUAAAACCUAAAAGAAUGUGGUACAAAAAACGUUCUAAGACAGUAAAUGUACUCACCUGCCAGAACCUGUUCUACAGAACUGUUGACGUUUGACGCGUGUUGUGAUGAAGUCUGGAGACACCUGGUGUUACAACGUAUUAGGACAUAGGUAUAUUUAACAAUUAUUAAAUAAGAAACUAAUAUAUUAAUACUAUCCACAUGUCAUAAAUAGAAAUAUAAAAUAAAUAUUUAAAAUACAAUGUAAAAUACAGUUACAGUGUCAAACUGUAGGCGUUAGCACUGAAGGGCCUGGAGCCGUGGGGACCUGUGAGUGACUACAGUCGGUGAUUGAGGUUAAACUGAUGAUGAGUUGGCGCUCAGUGUGAGUGAUUCAACAUGUGGUCAGCGGUCCGUUCGAAAUACUGAGCGUGUCAGAAACUUCUUUUUCUUUCUGUCUCUGCAAAAACAUAACAUUUCAGCUGAUACAUUUCAUCUCCAAACCUGCUGUAAGUCUCAUGUAAAUACGUUCAUGCUCUAAAUAUAGACAUUUGAACCCUACGUUGUUCUAAUGCAGUAUUUUUAUCCACACUGUGACACUGGGUCAGAUUUAUAAAAAACGAAGAAAUGAGUAGAAGACCAGCUGCGUCACUAACGCUGUGGACCAACACGUGAGCAGAGCGUGAGGGACGACUGACCGCGUCACACCGUCGACCCACCGACCCACCGCUUUAUACUACUCAGGUCUCCAGGAGAGAUGGGCAGGGGUUUUUGACCAGAACUCACGGUCAGUGAGUGAGGAGAAUGUAAAUGUAUAAACGCAGCAUAAAUCAGUGGUUCUCAAAUGAUCAGUCCCACCAGGAACCGAGGCUGGACUUUUUUUUUUUCAAUAAAUAACCCAAUUUAACAAAAACUUUUGUUUUCCAAUAAGGUCCAAAAUUUAAGUUCCAUGUUCUGAACUGAAACCAGGAUGUGUGCUAGAGGUUCUCUAUCUGUCCACAACUUGACCAAAAGAACUGAGGGGGGAGGAGGGGGGGGGGCUAUUUAGAAAUAAACAACCAUUCACACUUGCAUUCACACUAAUAUUCCCACCAGUGUAAAGAGAACUAUCAGUCAAAUCCCAAAUCUGCGUGUUCUUGAACUGUGGUAGAACCUGGAGAACCCCCCCCCCCACAUACACACACAUACACACAUAGGGGAAACAUGAGAACUCCAUACAGAAAGACCAGCAGUUAAAAGAUCAAGACAAAGUUAAAAAAAAAAUGGAACCAAUAACUGCAACAACACCAUCCACUUCAGCCAGCCUUCAAAUUCUUCUCUGUGACCCAGGUUUGGGCCUCGACUCAGCAUUUGAGAAACACUGCAUUAAUGGUGUCAGUGAGGAAGUCAAUAGAAUCAGAGAAACGGUGGUUCGGACUUUUUCUAAAUCGCAGAAAUGAUUUCUGAUCUUUCGGAGGCUCAUCCGUUUGUGAAAGAAAAUUCCCAUCAUUUUAAACAUUGGACUCUGUUUAAACUCACUUUUAAAAAAUGACUCAUGAACGCCUUUGAUCACGUGACGACAGAUGAGGAAACAUGAGAACCAGAGGUCUGAGAGUCUGGACGGACGGUGGACUAACAGAGACGCAGCAGGUGAACAUCAAAGCUGUGUUUAAAGGUGAUAGAAGUGCAUAGAUCUGCGGCGGCCGAGCCAUGAGUGGAUACAGCAUUCUUUAAGGUUGAGUGAGUGGUGGGCACCAGCUGUGGGAAACUUCAAACUCUCACUGUGUAAAUAUCAAUAUGAUAAACAUAUCUGCCAGCAGCCGGUUCAGUCUGAGGGUGAGAAGCUGAUAUGUUACAACAACGAGCGUGAGUGUGUGAGUGUGUGUGUGUAUGCAGAGGUACGAAGGUGCGUGAGGAAAGAAAGCUGUGAAAAUGUCCAGAGGCUGGAAACGACCAGGA